AUUGAACGCUGGCGGCAUGCCUUACACAUGCAAGUCGAACGGCAGCACGGGAGCAAUCCUGGUGGCGAGUGGCGAACGGGUGAGUAAUGUAUCGGAACGUGCCCAGUCGUGGGGGAUAACGCAGCGAAAGCUGUGCUAAUACCGCAUACGAUCUAUGGAUGAAAGCGGGGGAUCGCAAGACCUCGCGCGACUGGAGCGGCCGAUGUCAGAUUAGCUAGUUGGUGGGGUAAAGGCUCACCAAGGCGACGAUCUGUAGCUGGUCUGAGAGGACGACCAGCCACACUGGAACUGAGACACGGUCCAGACUCCUACGGGAGGAAGCAGUGGGGAAUUUUGGACAAUGGGCGCAAGCCUGAUCCAGCAAUGCCGCGUGCAGGAUGAAGGCCUUCGGGUUGUAAACUGCUUUUGUACGGAGCGAAAAGGCUCUCUCUAAUACAGGGGGCUCAUGACGGUACCGUAAGAAUAAGCACCGGCUAACUACGUGCCAGCCGCCGCGGUAA
RNAcentral lists this ribosomal RNA (500 nucleotides) under uncultured bacterium. RNAcentral describes it as "partial 16S ribosomal RNA". It matches the Rfam family "Bacterial small subunit ribosomal RNA", at positions 30 to 523 of the family's 1533-position model. The record is from RNAcentral.